AAAGCGUGCGCAGGCGGUUAUAUAAGACAGAUGUGAAAUCCCCGGGCUCAACCUGGGAAUUGCAUUGGAGACUGCAAGGCUAGAAUCUGGCAGAGGGGGGUAGAAUUCCACGUGUAGCAGUGAAAUGCGUAGAUAUGUGGAGGAACACCGAUGGCGAAGGCAGCCCCCUGGGUCAAGAUUGACGCUCAUGCACGAAAGCGUGGGGAGCAAACAGGAUUAGAUACCCCAGU
RNAcentral lists this ribosomal RNA (230 nucleotides) under uncultured bacterium. RNAcentral's name for it is "partial 16S ribosomal RNA". It matches the Rfam family "Bacterial small subunit ribosomal RNA", at positions 562 to 791 of the family's 1533-position model. The record is from RNAcentral.